GCUGGGGCCGCCGUUGGGCCUUCUCCCUCUAGGGGCCCAAGAGCCACUGGUACUCGGUGUCUGGGUGGCGGCAGGGGGGAUUUUUGUUCUUCCAGCACCUGCGGCUGUUGAGACCAGAGCACUUGGUGGUUGACCACAGGCUGGGGUAUUAGUUCACCCCUAGCUUCUCCCCAGCGAGAACUCAGGGCCUUUGGGCACAGGGGAUUAAGCUUCAAUCUGCUUAUGUGCAAGGGGAAGAAAUAGGCCCAUAGAGCAACAGUGGCGGGUCUACAGUCACACAGCCAACUUGUGCUUGUGGCAGUGGCAAGGUUGGUGAGUAUCUGAGUCUUCAGGCCAUGGUGUUUUCCCCUCGAGUGGAGCCUGGAAGCUGGUUCAGUGGGGCUGUCAACCACAGGUACCAACCCUGCCCUCCCCUACAGAGUAUGUGACACGUGCACAGCCAGUCACUGCAUCCCAGUGCUUGGACCAGUCACAGGGUCAAGGGUGCAGUGGCUCACACCUGUAAUCCCAGCAGUUUGGGAGUCCCAGGCAGGCAGAUCCCUGAAGUCAGGAGUUUGAGACCAGCCUGGGUGAAACCCCAUCUCUAAUAAAAGUACAAAAAAUUA
This 605-nucleotide long non-coding RNA is filed under the name Pongo abelii (Sumatran orangutan). RNAcentral describes it as "lincRNA". Lineage: Eukaryota; Metazoa; Chordata; Mammalia; Primates; Hominidae. The record is from RNAcentral.